CCGGGGCCGCCGCUUGGAGGAAGCUUCUUUUCCCGCGCAUCGCGCGCGAGCGCGGGUGGCAGAGAAGGAAGUGACGCAUCGCAUCGCGAUUUUAUUGGCUGUAGACACGCCCAGCAUCUUCUUGAGCUCCUCCCUGAGGUGGAUGGGCAGCUAGCUGCAGGUGGCACAGGAUGAUACACAUCUUUUCUCACGCCGCUUUGCCCUCUAGCUCCAAGAUCUCGGCUGCCAGAUGCAGCGACAGAGCUUCUUUGUACAUACAGCCCUGGACACACUUUCAGCAGCAACUCUUCUUGCGCGAGCUGGUGCAAGAACAGGAUUCAUCUGUGGCACAGGAACAGUUGGUGUCAACCGAUGGAGGCAGAGGAGAGACCAGAGCCGUGACUUCAACUGAAGUGGAGUAAAUAAAGAUGAUUGCAGAACUUGGAAGCUGACGAAAUCAGUUUUGGAAAAGAGCUGGCUUGGAGCGUGACAGAAGGGAGAGAUGGAAAGAAUGCUGGGAGUCCAACUCAAGACUGAUGUGUGCUUGGCAGGCAGUCUACCCCAGUCUCAGUCCUCUAGCCUUUUGGCCUUUUUUCCUUUUUGGAGACAGGAUUGCAUCAUAGGGCAGCCUGGCCUCCUACACAGUCCUGCCUCAGUCUCUGGAGUGCUGGGAUUGUAGGCCUAUACCACCGCGCCUUUCUACAAUACAAACAGGAAAGGAAGAGGGGCUUCUUUGGAAAGGAGUAAAAGGACCAUGGAAGAGAUAAGAAGAUAAUGUUGUCAGAAAUUAUGCUGCUUGUGAAGAGGUAAACUGAACCCUUUUGAUUCUGUGAGGUUAUUAAAGAAUAUAAUUUUCAAAUCACGGUAAAAUCUUGAUUCAGAAACACAUGAGGAUAAUCAUUGUUUCCAUGGAAACCUUGGGAGACAGUUGAAAGCCUGGUCCCUGUUGCCUGGAGCAUUAGCCCAGCAUGGCUGCAAAGUUGGUCCUUUCCUGUUACCAUCUCCUGAGUACUGAACUACACGUAUGCGUGAACCUGCCCAUCUCUGCCUCUGUUAACAGCUGCCGUUGUCUCUUCACGAUAUUGUGGCUGACCUAGGUUGGAAGGAACAGAGCCAGUUGGCCAUGGACUGAAACUUUUGGAACUGAUUCUGAGGAGUUAAUGUUUCCAUGAAUAUCUCAGAAGGAGAUGUGGACAAAGGAACACUUGUCUCACUCUCGUAGCUGACUGAGCUUUUUUAAGAUGGCUGGUCUAAAUUCUUCAGAGAUGGCGCAGUGUCAGAAUCAUGUGUGGCCUCCUCCUGCCUGAACCAUGCCGCUAAGACAGUUGCCCACUGUGCAGUUUCACACCAUCUGCAGAGAGCAACACUGGCUUCGAGAGCCUUGCCAGUUACUGAAAGCCUGGCUGACUGCCAAGCUUUGCACUGUGGACUGAAAAUUGCUCUCUUUGCUGAGUUCAGUACUAAAAUUUAGAUCUUCAUGGUCUCCCGGGAGACCAUGUCAGCUGCUGUUCAAGUGAGAUAAAUUUGGAUCACCUGGAGAUAUGCACGCUCUAUGCCUUCCUUGACUGUCAGCUAAACAGUCUGCGCUCCUGGCUUAGUACAGCCUUGGCUGCUGAGAGCCCCCAUUCCUCCCCUGUGCUCUUCAUUGUCCUCAUGAUCUGACUUUCAUUAUACUCCUAACACUGGGAGUGAAGUGUCAUUGAAGAAUGUUCUUCAGGUACUACCUCAAAGGGCUGGAGAUGAAUGCUUUGAUUCUGCAUUCCUCCUAGGACACAUAUCAAGCCCCCAGAAUUUCUCACUGUCCAGUUGCACCAGUGUGAGGAAUUUGAUGGUUUUAGGAAAGUGAAAGUGCUCUUCUGGUCCAUAUAAAUGUCCGUGCAGAUCCAAAGCCAUGCAUUGCAUGGUAGCUCACCUUUAAUCCUAGCGCUCGGAAGACAGAGGCAGGCAGAUCUCUGUGAGCACAAGGCCAGCCUGGUCUACACAGUGAGUUCCAGGACAGCCAAGGCUACACAGGAAUCCUGUGUACAGGUCCUUGGUAUUGCACUCUUCUCUAUAAAUACAAUUUGUUUUUAGAAUGUGUGGUUUUUAAGUUGUUCUGUGCAGGCUGGAUAAAGGCUAGCCCACUAUUGCACCCAUCAGCUUGUUCCUGUCACUUCUUCUCACCUUUGAGCACUUAGCAUAUCUCUCUAUUUUGUCUUUGCUGAAAUGGUUUCUAAGGGGAAGCUCCUCUGUCGCUGUCCUCUAGCCCCAGCCAAGAUAUUUUCAAGAUUUUUCUUUGUCCUUCUGUAAUUUGAAUAUGAUGAAUGUUUUUAUUUAC
This 2296-nucleotide long non-coding RNA is filed under the name Mus pahari (shrew mouse). RNAcentral describes it as "lncRNA (MGP_PahariEiJ_G0006499.1)". The record is from RNAcentral. Lineage: Eukaryota; Metazoa; Chordata; Mammalia; Rodentia; Muridae.